This 182-nucleotide ribosomal RNA is filed under the name Clostridioides difficile. RNAcentral describes it as "partial 23S ribosomal RNA". It matches the Rfam family "Bacterial large subunit ribosomal RNA", at positions 1244 to 1430 of the family's 2925-position model. The record is from RNAcentral. Lineage: Bacteria; Bacillati; Bacillota; Clostridia; Peptostreptococcales; Peptostreptococcaceae.
GGUCGGCUGAGUCAGAUGUGGACAUGUGGACAGUAUGGGAGUGAGAAUGUUGGCAGGGGUAGCGAGAUGUGGGUGAGAAUCCCACAGGCCGUAAACCCAAGGUUUCCAGGGGAAGGUUCGUCCGCCCUGGGUUAGUCGGGACCUAAGCUGAGGCCGAAAGGCGUAGGUGAUGGACAACAGGU